AAAUUGAAGAGUUUGAUCAUGGCUCAGAUUGAACGCUGGCGGCAGGCCUAACACAUGCAAGUCGAACGGUAACACAGAGAGCUUGCUCUCGGGUGACGAGUGGCGGACGGGUGAGUAAUGUCUGGGAAACUGCCUGAUGGAGGGGGAUAACUACUGGAAACGGUGGCUAAUACCGCAUAACGUCGCAAGACCAAAGAGGGGGACCUUCGGGCCUCUUGCC
RNAcentral lists this ribosomal RNA (220 nucleotides) under Salmonella enterica subsp. enterica serovar 4,12:d:-. Its description in RNAcentral is "partial 16S ribosomal RNA". It matches the Rfam family "Bacterial small subunit ribosomal RNA", at positions 1 to 219 of the family's 1533-position model. The record is from RNAcentral. Lineage: Bacteria; Pseudomonadati; Pseudomonadota; Gammaproteobacteria; Enterobacterales; Enterobacteriaceae.